Molecule: transfer RNA, 93 nt
Filed under: Candidatus Scalindua sp.
Lineage: Bacteria; Pseudomonadati; Planctomycetota; Candidatus Brocadiia; Candidatus Brocadiales; Candidatus Scalinduaceae
Also listed under: 1 other name
Description: tRNA-Ser
Rfam family: tRNA
About the family: Transfer RNA (tRNA) molecules are approximately 80 nucleotides in length. Their secondary structure includes four short double-helical elements and three loops (D, anti-codon, and T loops).
Source: RNAcentral
GGAGAGGUGUCCGAGAGGCCGAAGGAGCACGCUUGGAAAGCGUGUAGGUGGGUAACCCCUGCCUCGCGGGUUCGAAUCCCGCCCUCUCCGCCA